GCGGGCGUGGCGGAACUGGCAGACGCGCUGGAUUUAGGUUCCAGUGGGGCAACCCGUGGAGGUUCGAGUCCUCUCGCCCGCA
This 82-nucleotide transfer RNA is filed under the name Candidatus Eiseniibacteriota bacterium. RNAcentral's name for it is "tRNA-Leu". It matches the Rfam family "tRNA". Rfam says of the family: Transfer RNA (tRNA) molecules are approximately 80 nucleotides in length. Their secondary structure includes four short double-helical elements and three loops (D, anti-codon, and T loops). The record is from RNAcentral. Lineage: Bacteria; Candidatus Eiseniibacteriota.